Molecule: ribosomal RNA, 256 nt
Filed under: uncultured archaeon
Lineage: Archaea
Description: partial 16S ribosomal RNA
Rfam family: Bacterial small subunit ribosomal RNA
Source: RNAcentral
UAAUACGUAGGGGGCGAGCGUUGUCCGGAAUUACUGGGCGUAAAGGGCGUGUAGGCGGCCUGUUAAGUCAGGCGUGAAAACCCCGGGCUUAACCUGGGGACUGCGUUUGAAACUGGCGGGCUUGAGGGCAGGAGAGGAAAGUGGAAUUCCCGGUGUAGCGGUGAUAUGCGUAGAUACCGGGAGGAACACCAGUGGCGAAGGCGGCUUUCUGGACUGCACCUGACGCUGAGGCGCGAAAGCCAGGGGAGCGAACGGG